GUGCCCAUAGCUCAGUUGGAUAGAGCAUCUGCCUUCUAAGCAGACGGUCGUAGGUUCGAGUCCUACUGGGCACGCCA
This 77-nucleotide transfer RNA is filed under the name Gemmatimonadota bacterium. RNAcentral describes it as "Gemmatimonadetes bacterium tRNA-Arg". It matches the Rfam family "tRNA". From Rfam's summary of the family: Transfer RNA (tRNA) molecules are approximately 80 nucleotides in length. Their secondary structure includes four short double-helical elements and three loops (D, anti-codon, and T loops). Further hydrogen bonds mediate the characteristic L-shaped molecular structure. tRNAs have two regions of fundamental functional importance: the anti-codon, which is responsible for specific mRNA codon recognition, and the 3' end, to which the tRNAs corresponding amino acid is attached (by aminoacyl-tRNA synthetases). tRNAs cope with the degeneracy of the genetic code in two manners: having more than one tRNA (with a specific anti-codon) for a particular amino acid; and 'wobble' base-pairing, i.e. permitting non-standard base-pairing at the 3rd anti-codon position. The record is from RNAcentral. RNAcentral also lists the same sequence under 1 other name. Lineage: Bacteria; Pseudomonadati; Gemmatimonadota.